RNAcentral lists this ribosomal RNA (478 nucleotides) under uncultured bacterium. RNAcentral describes it as "bacterial SSU rRNA". It matches the Rfam family "Bacterial small subunit ribosomal RNA", at positions 31 to 507 of the family's 1533-position model. The record is from RNAcentral.
AGGAUAGAACGCUGGCGGCGUGCCUCAAACAUGCAAGUCGAGCGAGGCUAUGAAUUACCGCAAGGUAAGGCAUAGCCUAGCGGCGAACGGGUGAGUAACACGUGGGUAACCUACCUGGAAGACAGGGAUAACGAUUCGAAAGGGUCGCUAAUACCUGAUAAUAUCCAUCUGCCGGAUGGCGGAGGGAAGAAAGGGGAAACCCGCUUUCAGAUGGGCCCGCGUCCCAUCAGCUAGUUGGUAAGGUAAAGGCUUACCAAGGCGACGACGGGUAGCCGGUCUGAGAGGAUGUACGGCCACACUGGGACUGAGAUACGGCCCAGACUCCUACGGGAGGCAGCAGUUGGGAAUCUUAGGCAAUGGACGAAAGUCUGACCUAGCGACGCCGCGUGAGGGAAGAAGGCCUUCGGGUUGUAAACCCCUGUCAUGGGGGAAGAAGGAAGUGACGGUACCCCAAGAGGAAGCCCCUGCUAACUACGUG